RNAcentral lists this ribosomal RNA (421 nucleotides) under uncultured bacterium. Its description in RNAcentral is "bacterial SSU rRNA". It matches the Rfam family "Bacterial small subunit ribosomal RNA", at positions 356 to 774 of the family's 1533-position model. The record is from RNAcentral.
GAGGGAUAUUGGUCAAUGGGUGCAAGCCUGAACCAGCCAUCCCGCGUGAAGGACGACUGCCCUAUGGGUUGUAAACUUCUUUUGUAUGGGGAUAAACCUACCCUCGUGAGGGUAGCUGAAGGUACUAUACGAAUAAGCACCGGCUAACUCCGUGCCAGCAGCCGCGGUAAUACGGAGGGUGCAAGCGUUAUCCGGAUUUAUUGGGUUUAAAGGGUCCGUAGGCGGACUUAUAAGUCAGUGGUGAAAGCCUGUCGCUUAACGAUAGAACUGCCAUUGAUACUGUAAGUCUUGAGUAUAGUUGAGGUAGCUGGAAUAAGUAGUGUAGCGGUGAAAUGCAUAGAUAUUACUUAGAACACCAAUUGCGAAGGCAGGUUACCAAGAUAUAACUGACGCUGAGGGACGAAAGCGUGGGGAGCGAACA